UUUUUUUUUUUUAGAGAAAAAGUCCUCUAUGACAAUCUCUCAAAAAUACAGGUUUGUGACACUAGAAAUAAAUUGCCAGAUUGUCUUUAUUUUUGUAAUUUUCGUCAUUGAAUUCCCAGAAUGCCUGAGUUAAUUAUUGAACAAAGCCUCAUAGUAGUCUCUUUGUACCAGAAGAGUGCAAGGCCACAAGCACAAGGAGUAUACAAUUGCUAAUAACAUGCAAUUUAUUCUAGCAUUCUAUUCUAACGUAGUAGAAAUUAAUAGAAAUUUUGGGUUAGUAGUAUCACCUGGGAGAAGGUUAUGAAUAGGAUAAGCAUGGGAAUGCCAAUCUCUACGCACCGCCCG
Molecule: unclassified non-coding RNA, 345 nt
Filed under: Hevea brasiliensis (rubber tree)
Lineage: Eukaryota; Viridiplantae; Streptophyta; Magnoliopsida; Malpighiales; Euphorbiaceae
Source: RNAcentral